RNAcentral lists this transfer RNA (105 nucleotides) under Nanobdellota archaeon. Its description in RNAcentral is "tRNA-Arg". The record is from RNAcentral. Lineage: Archaea; Nanobdellati; Nanobdellota.
GCCCCUGUCGUCUAGUUUGGAUAGGAUAUGAGCUUGCGGAGCUUAAGGCUAGGGUUCAAAAGGUCUGCGAAGAGAAGCGCGGCUUUGAAAGUCCCUGCAGGGGCG